Molecule: ribosomal RNA, 468 nt
Filed under: uncultured bacterium
Lineage: Bacteria
Description: partial 16S ribosomal RNA
Rfam family: Bacterial small subunit ribosomal RNA
Source: RNAcentral
GACGAACGCUGGCGGCGUGCUUAACACAUGCAAGUCGAACGGAAAGGCCCUGCUUUUGUGGGGUGCUCGAGUGGCGAACGGGUGAGUAACACGUGAGUAACCUGCCCUUGACUUUGGGAUAACUUCAGGAAAUUGGGGCUAAUACCGGAUAGGAGCUCCUGCUGCAUGGUGGGGGUUGGAAAGUUUCGGCGGUUGGGGAUGGACUCGCGGCUUAUCAGCUUGUUGGUGAGGUAGUGGCUUACCAAGGCUUUGACGGGUAGCCGGCCUGAGAGGGUGACCGGCCACAUUGGGACUGAGAUACGGACCAGACUCCUACGGGAGGCAGCAGUGGGGAAUAUUGCACAAUGGGCGGAAGCCUGAGGCAGCAACGCCGCGUGCGGGAUGACGGCCUUCGGGUUGUAAACCGAUUUCGCCUGUAACGAAGCGUGAGUGACGGUAAUGGGUAAAGAAGCACCGGCUAACUACGUG